Molecule: ribosomal RNA, 392 nt
Filed under: uncultured bacterium
Lineage: Bacteria
Description: partial 16S ribosomal RNA
Rfam family: Bacterial small subunit ribosomal RNA
Source: RNAcentral
AUACGGAGGAUCCGAGCGUUAUCCGGAUUUAUUGGGUUUAAAGGGUGCGCAGGCGGCCAUUUAAGUCAGCGGUUAAAUCGUGGGGCUCAACCCCAUUCUGCCGUUGAUACUGGGUGGCUUGAUUGCGGUCGAGGUUGGCGGAAUUCGUUGUGUAGCGGUGCAAUGCAUAGAUAUGACGAAGAACACCGAUUGCGUAGGCAGCUGACCAGACCGCAAAUGACGCUCAUGCACGAAAGUGCGGGGAUCGAACAGGAUUAGAUACCCUGGUAGUCCGCACAGUAAACGAUGAAUACUUGUUUUCGGCGAUAUAAUGUCGGAGGCAAAGCGAAAGCGAUAAGCAUUCCACCUGGGGAGUACGCCGGCAACGGUGAAACUCAAAUGAAUUGACGGGG